This 485-nucleotide ribosomal RNA is filed under the name uncultured bacterium. RNAcentral's name for it is "partial 16S ribosomal RNA". It matches the Rfam family "Bacterial small subunit ribosomal RNA", at positions 28 to 507 of the family's 1533-position model. The record is from RNAcentral.
GUUGAACGCUGGCGGCAUGCCUUACACAUGCAAGUCGAACGGCAGCGGGCCCUUCGUGGUGCCGUCGCGUGGGGGACGGGUGAGUAAUUCAUCGGAACGUACCCGGGAGAGGGGGAUAACAGAACGUAGGGCUGGCUAAUACCGCACGAGCUCGGAAGAGCAAACCGAGGGACCUUCAGGCAUCGCGCUCUCUGAUGGCCCGAAGUCCGAUUAGGCUAGUUGGUGGGGUAAAGGCCAACCAAGGCGACGAUCGGUAGCGGGUCUGAGAGGACGAUCGGCCACACUGGGACUGAGACACGGCCCAGACUCCUACGGGAGGCAGCAGUGGGGAAUCUUGGACAAUGGGCGCAAGCCUGAUCCAGCAAUGCCGCGUGGGUGAAGAAGGCCUUCGGGUUGUAAAGCCCUUUCGGCGGGGAAGAAAUCGGGCAGGCGAAUAGACUGGCCGGAUGACGGUACCCGCAGAAGAAGCACCGGCUAACUACGUG